ACAUGAUGAUCACUAAAUCAGUGUGGAAAUUAAACUACGUACAGCACUAUACUAUUAAAAGCAUGCAUUGCAUUGUCUAGACAUGAAGAAAAGGAGUUUAUCCAAAUAAGGGAAGGGUUUCAACAAGUGGUCAGUGGAAAAGGUUUUAUGCGAAUCACUCAUGAAUCUCGAUGUGUCUUGAUAGGGCAUAACCAUCUUGAAUCAAAAUACAUUUAUUUUUAUGUUUUAAAAUUAAGUAUGAAAGUAGAUGUGAUAUUUACAUUAAACACGUGUUCCCCAAAGGGAAAAUUAAAAUAGGAACACAAAUUUAAUAUUCCUCUAAGCACGUACUGAUUAAGACCUUCUAGACAUCGUCAAAACUGUUGUAUAAUUUAUUAAUAUACAUGAAAAUUUAGACCGUUGAAAAUUAA
Long non-coding RNA from Gossypium arboreum, 410 nucleotides. RefSeq lists it as uncharacterized. Lineage: Eukaryota; Viridiplantae; Streptophyta; Magnoliopsida; Malvales; Malvaceae. The record is from RefSeq and is a predicted model, not a curated record. The transcript is spliced from 2 exons.